AGUCAACUUUAACGAUUUCGCGCAGGGGUGACCGUACCGCACUGUCAUUUGGGCAUAGCAAACCUACGCGGACCCGAGCUCAUUACAAUGCGGACAAACACAUACACAUAAACAUACACUCAUUCGUACUGACCCAUCUACAUAUAUACGACACAUAACAUACACAUAUCUACAUAACAGUCAGUGUAGUAAAACCAGUGAAAGAGUUUGAGAUAAGAGUCAUACGUGUCAUAUAUCUGUAGCAGAUCAGACACAUUAAACCUCCAAAACAAAAAAAAACUUUAACGAUUGUGAAUGGAUAUGAAUCUUACUGAACGUCUUAACAGUGUUGGAGCGAGCACACCGAAUAACGUGUGGAGCUGACUGAGAAAGGAGGAAUUAAGCACCUUAAAAGUUAUAUAUGAUCUACAGGAAAAUGAAGUGGAUAUUCAGUGUGAACAGACAAUCGGUAUUGCCGAUUUUGCUCGGCAUAUCCAUAACAACUUUUGGAGUGUCAGUGGCAGUCUUGUUAUAUACUAUGUUUGAGAAGGAUGAUAAUAAUAAAAACAAACAUAGCCAGAUAACAACAACCAAACGUAAAGAAAUAAGUGUGAAAGUUAAAAUACUUGAGAAAUACGUACCUGCUGUUAUUGGUAAAGGUGGCACUGUAAUUAAAAAUAUAGAAGAGUUAACUAACACACGCAUCAAAAUGGAAAGGAGAAACAUAUAUUCUUCAGAACGUGUGUGUUACAUACAGUCCAACGAUAUGAAAAACAUUCACUCGGCACAGAAUAUGAUACAAGCUGUAAUAGAAAAUUUACCUGUUAUUGAAACCUUCUAUUUGUUCGUGCCUCUCGAGGCUUUUAAAGAAGUUUUUAAAAAAAGUUUGAAUGGGAAAUUUGAAUUUGAACACGAGAUUCAAAAGACCUAUGGUGUAAAACUCAGUGUUGAUUAUGACAUUUUUAAAAGUGAAACUGGAAUGAAAAGGAGGAUAAUACUGUCAGGUAUUGCUGACCAAAUAGCGUCAGCCGUUAUUCAUAUAGAAGACAAAAUUCAAGAAGUUGAAGCUCAAGCUCAAUUAGAGAUGCAAUGUACAGCAAAAUCGUUCUCUAAUAAUACUGAUGUUAAAAAUACAGAUGAUCCUGAUAUUGAGACUUAUGAGAUAUUAAUACCACGUGAUGCUUUUAAGAAAAUCAUAGGAAGAAGAGGGUAUGAUAUACAAGAAAUAAUAAAAUCUUCUGGUGCAAAACUCAUAAUUGGAAAUUUUGCUGUUAAAUUAUUAGAAACUCAUGAAAGCAAAAACAUAAUAACAGUAAAGGGGACUGCUGCGCAAGUAAAACUAGCUAUUAGUCAGAUAGAAAAUAAAAUUCAAGAGAUAAUUGGAUCUCCAAUGGAAUUGAUUAUCAAAAGAAUCUCUGAGUCGUCUAAAUCUACGAGUCAAAUUAGCAUAUCUAAUAACAUUUUAAGAUCUACUUUAGUACAAGUAGAUGGUUUAAUGCAAGUAUUUGUAACUGCGAUGGAAACGCCAAGCUUGUUUUGGAUUCAAGUGUGUAGUCCUGCACUCAUUCAAUUACAAAACUUGGUAUUUGAAAUGACACACUAUUACAAUAAAGAGGAAAAUCAAAAGUUUCAUAUUUUAAAAAAAAUGAUGCCAGGCAAAAUGGUAGCAGCUAAAUUUAAAUAUGACGGCAAAUGGUAUCGUGCGGAAAUAAUAUCCGUCAUGGAAUCUGAUGGAUUAUGCGAAGUUUUCUUUGUGGAUUAUGGAGAUAUGGAACUUGUCCCUACAGAUGAUGUAUUGGAACUUCGUACAGAUAUGUUGAGCUUACGGCAUCAAGCUGUGGAAUGUUCGUUAGCAAACGUGAAGCCACGAGAAAAUGAGUGGAGCCCUGAAGCUAGCGAUAAGUUUGCCGAACUUACCAAUCUAGCAAAGUGGGUAGAACUUACUGCUAAAGUUAAAGGCUACAAGGAACGUCCGAUCGGUUGCAGAGGAUCUCGAAAUCGUCAAAGUUCACUGAUUCCUUGCAUUCAUUUAUUAUACAACAACGAAUUUGGCAGUGAGGUCAACAUUGGGGACAGUUUAUUGCAAUUGAAAAUGGCUCAAGUCGAGGAAGAAGACUAUUCGGCAUUAAAUUCUGUGUUGUCUCAUGACAAGAGUGAUCUUUCAUUUCUUCCAUUUGUAUCUGAUUCAUAUUAUCUCGACUAAAUGCGACUUUAAUUGUGAUAAAACCUAUUUCAAUUUGAAGAUAUUCUAUUAACGACAUCAUAAAAAAGGGGAAACUUCGCCGUGCAUUUCAACGAUUUGCGGUCGUACCAAUUGACUUAGCGCGACAAUUGACUCACGAUGGGAUAAACAUGGUGCAAGAAAUGGCCAGAAGUAAUUGUCGGUUUCUUCUAGCAAGACUAGAAAGCUGCGGCGAAGCGAGACAUAUAAAACGACAACAACAGAGCUUCUCUCUUUAGUUGGACGAAUCGAAUUCCUGUUACUUUCAGCAUUACUACAAGGAUGAUGAAUAACUUGGUAAAUAACAAAUUUAUGUAAUUAUUUAAUUAUCACAUUUCUUUAUACUGAAUCAAACUGCGUUUAAAUAAACGAUUAUGUUUAUUA
Molecule: RNA transcript, 2584 nt
Organism: Monomorium pharaonis (pharaoh ant)
Lineage: Eukaryota; Metazoa; Arthropoda; Insecta; Hymenoptera; Formicidae
Gene: papi
Gene name: tudor and KH domain-containing protein homolog
Exons: 10
Source: RefSeq, a predicted model, not a curated record